RNAcentral lists this ribosomal RNA (716 nucleotides) under uncultured Staphylococcus sp. RNAcentral's name for it is "bacterial SSU rRNA". It matches the Rfam family "Bacterial small subunit ribosomal RNA", at positions 63 to 761 of the family's 1533-position model. The record is from RNAcentral. Lineage: Bacteria; Bacillati; Bacillota; Bacilli; Caryophanales; Staphylococcaceae.
CGAGCGAACGGACGAGAAGCUUGCUUCUCUGAUGUUAGCGGCGGACGGGUGAGUAACACGUGGAUAACCUACCUAUAAGACUGGGAUAACUUCGGGAAACCGGAGCUAAUACCGGAUAAUAUUUUGAACCGCAUGGUUCAAAAGUGAAAGACGGUCUUGCUGUCACUUAUAGAUGGGUCCGCGCUGCAUUAGCUAGUUGGUAAGGUAACGGCUUACCAAGGCAACGAUGCAUAGCCGACCUGAGAGGGUGAUCGGCCACACUGGAACUGAGACACGGUCCAGACUCCUACGGGAGGCAGCAGUAGGGAAUCUUCCGCAAUGGGCGAAAGCCUGACGGAGCAACGCCGCGUGAGUGAUGAAGGUCUUCGGAUCGUAAAACUCUGUUAUUAGGGAAGAACAUAUGUGUAAGUAACUGUGCACAUCUUGACGGUACCUAAUCAGAAAGCCACGGCUAACUACGUGCCAGCAGCCGCGGUAAUACGUAGGUGGCAAGCGUUAUCCGGAAUUAUUGGGCGUAAAGCGCGCGUAGGCGGUUUUUUAAGUCUGAUGUGAAAGCCCACGGCUCAACCGUGGAGGGUCAUUGGAAACUGGAAAACUUGAGUGCAGAAGAGGAAAGUGGAAUUCCAUGUGUAGCGGUGAAAUGCGCAGAGAUAUGGAGGAACACCAGUGGCGAAGGCGACUUUCUGGUCUGUAACUGACGCUGAUGUGCGAAAGCG